ACAAGGGCUAUCUCUAUGAGCUAAACAAUUAUAGCAGAGGACACAAUCAAAUUCAGAGGAUCAACAAAUUGUCAAGCACACAUGCUACAACCAUCAAUUUAUGUGAUAUUAACCAUCUAACUCUGCAAUGUUCACACACUGGUUUCCGUCAUCUAUAAGAUUUUGUUUCCAUUA
This is a long non-coding RNA of Hordeum vulgare subsp. vulgare (domesticated barley), 174 nucleotides long. RefSeq lists it as uncharacterized. The record is from RefSeq and is a predicted model, not a curated record. NCBI's taxonomy places the organism in Eukaryota, Viridiplantae, Streptophyta, Magnoliopsida, Poales, Poaceae. The transcript is spliced from 2 exons.